This 130-nucleotide small RNA is filed under the name Klebsiella pneumoniae. RNAcentral describes it as "RtT sRNA". It matches the Rfam family "RtT RNA". From Rfam's summary of the family: This family represents a bacterial cis-regulatory element known as RtT RNA. The exact function of RtT is unknown although it is thought that it may be involved in changing the cellular response in relation to amino acid starvation. Lineage: Bacteria; Pseudomonadati; Pseudomonadota; Gammaproteobacteria; Enterobacterales; Enterobacteriaceae. The record is from RNAcentral.
UAUUCUGCCCCAUGGGGAAGGAUGAGAACCUCCGGCGGAGGUUCGACUCGAGCGAAGCGAGAGAACGUUGCGUCAGCAACGGCCCGCAGGGCGAGCCACGAAGUGGUGAGUCAUCCUUCCCCCACCACCA